AGGCAUCUUCAAGUUGCUCUUGAGUUCAUUAUUUUUAAUGACAGAAAAGUGCUAGUACUUGAGGUAAUUUCUUUUUUCUUCUUCUGCGUUUUCUUUGCUUGCUCGUUUUUUUUCCUCUUUUAUUUUGCAGGUCAAAUGAAAAGGAUUUGUUCUUGUUCAACAAGCUGAUCCACGCAUGAAGAAGACAAUCUUGAGGUGUGAGGGGAUGAGUACUCAUCCUUGCCAGAAUAUUGGAGAGAUUACUCUCAUGGCCCGACUACCGAAGAAAUUACUCUCAAUGUGGCCAGGUUACUGGAGAGAUAUGGCCUGAUUACCGGAGAGAUUACUCUCAAUGUGGCCCGACUACCGGCGAGAUUACUCUUAAAAUGGCUGGACUACUGGAGUGAUUACUCUCAAUAUGGCCCGACGACCAGAGAGAUUACUCUCAAUGUAGCCCGACUAUUGGAGAGAUUACUCUCAAUGUGGUCCGACUACCGGAGAGAUUACUCUCAAUGUGGCUCGACUAUCGGCGAGGCCAACUUUAGGUGCAAAGAGACUCAUACGUCCACCUUAAGAUUGGAAAGUUAUAGUUCAUGUUAAGGACAAACCCGCGAAGAGGCCAACUUAAGGUGCAAAGGGGCUUAUGUGUCACCUUGAGAUUUGAAAGUUAUAGUUCCUUUUAACGACAAACCCGCGAAGAGGCCAACUUAAGGUGCAAAGGGACUCAUAUGUCCACCUUAAUAUUGGAAAGUUAUAGUUCCUUUUAAGGACAAACCAGCGAAGAGGCCAACUUAAGGUGCAAAGGCACUUAUAUGACCACCUUAAGAUUAGAAAGUUAUAAAGCUUCAACUCGAAGACGGCAUCGACUUCAACACUUGGAAAACUUUGAAGAUUUGGCGAACUUUGCAGACUUCAACUCGAAGAUUCAGAGGGCUUGAACAAUUCAACUUUAGGAUCGGCGAAUUUGAAGACUGAAACUUGAAUACUUCAACUUGGAGGGCUUAAAUAUUUCAACUUUAAGACCGGCGAAUUUGAAGACUGAAACUUCAAGACCAACGAACUUUAAGACUUCAACUUUGAGACUUGGAGGGCUUAAAUAUUUCAGCUUCUUUUUUGCUUUACAUUGUCCGACUUUUAUCUUAGUCGCAUAAUUUUCAGCUUUACGCGCUUGUAACAAAAGAUUCAUAUGUUGUUGUGGGAGAGUCCAAAUAAUGAAC
This 1196-nucleotide long non-coding RNA is filed under the name Nicotiana benthamiana. RNAcentral's name for it is "long non-coding RNA (NBEN_LNC006418)". Lineage: Eukaryota; Viridiplantae; Streptophyta; Magnoliopsida; Solanales; Solanaceae. The record is from RNAcentral.